AUUGAACGCUGGCGGCAGGCCUAACACAUGCAAGUCGAACGGUAACAGAAAGCAGCUUGCUGCUUUGCUGACGAGUGGCGGACGGGUGAGUAAUGUCUGGGAAACUGCCUGAUGGAGGGGGAUAACUACUGGAAACGGUAGCUAAUACCGCAUAACGUCGCAAGACCAAAGAGGGGGACCUUCGGGCCUCUUGCCAUCGGAUGUGCCCAGAUGGGAUUAGCUAGUAGGUGGGGUAGAGGCUCACCUAGGCGACGAUCCCUAGCUGGUCUGAGAGGAUGACCAGCCACACUGGAACUGAGACACGGUCCAGACUCCUACGGGAGGCAGCAGUGGGGAAUAUUGCACAAUGGGCGCAAGCCUGAUGCAGCCAUGCCGCGUGUAUGAAGAAGGCCUUCGGGUUGUAAAGUACUUUCAGCGGGGAGGAAGGGAGUAAAGUUAAUACCUUUGCUCAUUGACGUUACCCGCAGAAGAAGCACCGGCUAACUCCGUG
This 490-nucleotide ribosomal RNA is filed under the name uncultured bacterium. RNAcentral's name for it is "partial 16S ribosomal RNA". It matches the Rfam family "Bacterial small subunit ribosomal RNA", at positions 30 to 507 of the family's 1533-position model. The record is from RNAcentral.